This 206-nucleotide unclassified non-coding RNA is filed under the name Hevea brasiliensis (rubber tree). Lineage: Eukaryota; Viridiplantae; Streptophyta; Magnoliopsida; Malpighiales; Euphorbiaceae. The record is from RNAcentral.
CGGAGCCGUCCGUUCCAGGAGAGCUGCUUCAAGUGUAGGAAUUUAAUCGAGCACUUGGUGUGCGCUAUCUCAUAUUUCUGGCUCCCAAUAUGAUGAAGUCUAACAAAACCGGUCUCCUAACGUUUGCAGAGAGGUGCAAGAAUAUUCUUGCUUCCAACUGGAUUGGUAGCCUCAAUACGAUCAAAGCCGAUGCUAAAGGAAGUAAG